This is a non-coding RNA of Acaromyces ingoldii, 113 nucleotides long. NCBI's taxonomy places the organism in Eukaryota, Fungi, Basidiomycota, Exobasidiomycetes, Exobasidiales, Cryptobasidiaceae. The record is from the annotation of a RefSeq genome assembly.
GGCAACUUGCCCGAGUUGGUCUAAGGGGAGGUAUUAGAAGACUUCAUUGAAAUUUCUAACCCAGGAAAAUGCCUUAGGCUUUGCCUGCACAAGUUCGAAUCUUGUAGUUGUCG